AAGGAUCAUUCAUAAUAAGUGUUUUAUGGCACUUUUUAAAUCCAUAUCCACCUUGUGUGCAAUGUCAGUUGUUCUUCUUUAUGGAGAAUGACCAAACAUCAACUUAUUUUUUAACUCUUUGUCUGAAAAAUAUUAUGAAUAAAUAAUUCAAAAUACAACUUUCAACAACGGAUCUCUUGGCUCUC
This 185-nucleotide unclassified non-coding RNA is filed under the name uncultured fungus. RNAcentral describes it as "partial contains 18S rRNA, ITS1, 5.8S rRNA, ITS2 and 28S rRNA". Lineage: Eukaryota; Fungi. The record is from RNAcentral.